GACGAACGCUGGCGGCGUGCCUAAUACAUGCAAGUCGAACGCAGGGGGGACGGGUGAGUAACACGUGGGUAACCUCCCAUCAGAGGGGAUAACACUUGGUAAUAGGUGCUAAACCGAUACUGAUGGAUGGACCCGCGGUGCAUUAGCUAGUUGGUGAGGUAACGGCUCACCAAGGCCACGAUGCAUAGCCGACGUGAGAGGGUGAGCGGCAACACUGGGACUGAGACACGGACCAGACUCGUACGGGAGGCAGCAGUAGGGAAUCUUCGGAAAGGGACGAAAGUCUGAACGAGCAAAGCGGCGUGAGUGAAGAAGGUUUUCGGAUCGUAAAACACUGUUGUUAGAGAAGCGGUAUCUAACCAGAAAGCAACGGCUAACUACGUGCCAGCAGCCGCGGUAAUUC
Molecule: ribosomal RNA, 403 nt
Filed under: uncultured bacterium
Lineage: Bacteria
Description: partial 16S ribosomal RNA
Rfam family: Bacterial small subunit ribosomal RNA
Source: RNAcentral